UACGAAGGGGGCUAGCGUUGCUCGGAAUUACUGGGCGUAAAGGGCGCGUAGGCGGUUCGCUAAGUUGGAUGUGAAAACUCUGGGCUCAACCCAGAGCCUGCAUCCAAAACUGGCGGGCUAGAGUUCUGGAGGGGGUAGCGGAAUUCCUGGUGUAGCGGUGAAAUGCGUAGAUAUCAGGAGGAACACCGGUGGCGAAGGCGGCUACCUGGACAGAAACUGACGCUGAGGCGCGAAAGCUAGGGGAGCAAACAGG
This 253-nucleotide ribosomal RNA is filed under the name uncultured bacterium. Its description in RNAcentral is "partial 16S ribosomal RNA". It matches the Rfam family "Bacterial small subunit ribosomal RNA", at positions 524 to 776 of the family's 1533-position model. The record is from RNAcentral.